GGUAUGGGAUGAGCUUGCGUCCGAUUAGCUAGUUGGCGGGGCAACGGCCCACCAAGGCGACGAUCGGUAGCCGGCCUGAGAGGGUGAUCGGCCACAUUGGGACUGAGAUACGGCCCAGACUCCUACGGGAGGCAGCAGUAGGGAAUAUUGCACAAUGGGGGAAACCCUGAUGCAGCAACGCCACGUGUGGGAAGAAGCAUUUCGGUGUGUAAACCACUGUCAUGAGGGAAUAAGGCCCGCCUCCGGGCGGGAUUGAAUGUACCUUGAGAGGAAGCACCGGCAAACUUCGUGCCAGCAGCCGCGGUAAUACGAGGGGUGCAAGCGUUGUUCGGAAUUACUGGGCGUAAAGGGAGCGUAGGCGGAGAUUCAAGCGGAUUGUACAAUCCCGGGGCCCAACCCCGGCUCUGCAGUCCGAACUGGAUCUCUUGGAUAGUUCAGGGGCAGGC
RNAcentral lists this ribosomal RNA (446 nucleotides) under uncultured bacterium. Its description in RNAcentral is "bacterial SSU rRNA". It matches the Rfam family "Bacterial small subunit ribosomal RNA", at positions 217 to 662 of the family's 1533-position model. The record is from RNAcentral.